GAAACACUGACCUAGAAGAACUACUUUGAUUGAGAAGAUGUUUGGGUUUGUGUUUGUUUUUGUUUUAAAUAGACGUUCGGGGCCCACACUCCGUCCCAGUUGGUGGCGACAACGCGCCAAACUGUUUACCAACCGCCAGUCCGCUUUUAAGGGAAGAAGAAGAAGAAGAAGAAGAAGAAGAAGAAGAAACCCGUCCGGCGCCGCCAGCAGAGUUAGAAGAGAAGCGUCACGCGGAGCAGCGCCGGAGACACGCAGUGGAUGUUGUCCCCAAGUGAAAUGGAUGAGGAUGAAGCUGAAGAAGAGGUGGAGUUUGUAUCAGAAGGUCCUAUCAGGCCAGUAUUGGAAUGUAUUAAUCUACUGAGUGAUAGUGAGGAAGAAGCAGGUACACGGACAACAGAUGCGAUUGAAGAUGAGGUCAACCGUCAGAAAGCACAAGUGACGUCUACUCUGGAAAGACUAGCACGCCAAGUGGCUGAAGGGAAAAAGGAAAAAGCCGAUAAAUUCAGAGCUUUCAAGGAAAAACAAAUCUCCCAAAGAACUCAUGGGCAACAGGAAAUUGCUUUGAGCUCUGAAAAUGGAAACAGUGAGGAUGCCAAGCGUUGUGUGGACAUGUGGUUGAAGAUGCCAGGCAUUCGACCCGGAGGGACCACCGCCGGUUCAAAUGGGAGGCACGGUCAUACCUCUUACCGCAGCAACAUGUCAACCAGUCUCACCUGCCCAGUCCUCAAUUGUGGAAGAGUUUACGACAACGUGCAUCUCCUCGAAGGUCACCUAAAGAGGUUUGAUCACUCCCCUUGUGAUCCAACCAUCAACCUUAAAGGAGGCCCAUCCGAGCGCUUUGCCUGCGUCGCAUGUGGUCAGCAUUUUGAUACCGAAGAAGCGUGGAGAGUUCAUGUGCAGUCUAAGGUGUUUUCUCCCAGCGCUGAAGGCCACACCAUCAGUCAGCCCUGUCAGCUGAUCGUGUGCUUUGCCUGCCCUGCCUGCUACCUCCUCUUCAACAUCCGGGAUGAGUGCCUCCAACACAUGUCCGCCAAAAACCACUUCACACAGUCCUUCCCUAUGAAUGCAACCUCAGGAAGAGCACUGCCGAUCCCCAUUCCACAACAUGCCAAAAACCAUCUUGUCACCUUGUGCAAGGAUGUCCAUUUCAGUGUCUACUGCUCGAUGUGCUACAAAGUACUGAAUUCGCACCAGGUGGCUCAGGCACAUUUCAAUGUGUACUGCAAGCAGGGCUGUGCCGUUGCCAAGGCUAACAAAACAGUAGCCCAGGUAAUGAAGCAGUUGCAAGUGUGGGGGCAGUGCUUUCUUUGCUGUAAGAUCUUCUUCAGUCAAGAUGAAAUUGAGAGACACAGAGGUUCAACCCAGCAUGAUGUGGCGGUCAACGAAACUAUGCAAAUAGCAAUUCUGCAGUACUGCAGGUUCAGUGAAAUUCAACAUGGCAAAAGGGCAAAAAAGAGGCCGGAGAAAAGGUUGUCCACAGACCCUGACACAUCACACCACAGGAGCAUGAAAAAAAAAGAAUCCGCAGAAUUCCCGGACAAGCGGCAGAGGCUUCGCCCAAGCGAAAACUCGUGCGUUAGCAGUGCCUGUGACUUGGUGCUAGCAUGGUUCUGUGAGUGUGGUCUGCGCUUCUCAGAAGAGGCUGCAGCCAGUAACCAUCUCUUGGCUGUAAACCAGAUUUUCCAUCAGUGUGGCGUGUGUGGCAAGCUCAUGGGCGAGUCCUCAAUUGCACGACUGCACAUGAGUCGCUUCCAUGGAGGGGCACAUCUCUCCAACUUACUGUAUAGAUGCCGCCUGUGCAAAGUCGACAUGCCACGCUACGAAGACAUUCUAUCACAUGUGUCAGAAGCUCAUACUGGACACACCUACUUUGUUGAAAGAGAAGUUCCCGAGGAGCUGAAUGCAGUCAGUGAUGCCAAGCCCUCUACCAGCGGCUCUCUCAAUCUACAUGCUAACUCCAAGUCCACAGUCCAGCCUACUACAGCAGGGGUACCUGCUGCAAAAUCGAAGCCGAACUGGAUGUGUAGGAUAUGUGAGGACCUGUUUGACUCUGAAGCAGCCGUCCACAGACAUUGCAGUGAUGUGACUAGUCACAGUUUCCAGAGAUUUGUCUGCUGCCACUGCCCCCAGAAGUUCUUCAAGGCGUCCACAGUGCACAGGCAUUGUAUGAACGAGCACAGUGGGCAGAUAAAAAUGUCUCACUUCUGUGGCCUGUGUGACAGCAUGCCGUUUGACUCGGAGGGAGAAUUCUUGGAGCAUUACGAACGCCUUCAUAGUAAGGACUAUUAUUGCAUGGAUGAUGAUGCUCGGCCUGCUGUUCCUUAUGUCCCUGGUCAGGUUGAACGCAUGUGCCCGUGCAAUGGGUCAGAGAUUUGCAAGGAUGAAAGGAAGGCUAUAUACAAAAAAUGCAUGAAGAAUCUGGCUGCUGAGGGAAAAUGUCAGUAUGUGUGCGCCCCUUGUGGCGUAACGGUGUCCUCCUUUGCAAAAAUUAAGACUCACGUCCACAUGACACACACAGCCUUGGAGCUGAAGAAGACCUUCGAUGUAGAGUGCGGUGUUUGCCAGGGGAGCUUUAUGGAUGUAAAUAGUUUCCAUAAACACUACCAUUCCCAGCACUGUCCACUGGAACCGUGCUUCAGCUCUCAUGCCGGCGGGAGCGGGGAGGCGGCAGAAUCCACUGCUGCCAAAACGCCGAAUGCUGCAGAGACAAAACCAGACUUGAAUGAGAUUAACGGUGGGAAACUGGACAAGUUUUUGAGCCCAGUAAAGGCCGUCAAAGACACUGGUGCCCAUGAAGAUGAGUCGGACGAGGAGAUGAAACAUUCCUUGGCUUUAAGUGCAGAAGCGAAAGAGUCAAAAGAUCUGGAGGAAGCGCUCAGAAGAAGCCUUCUGGAUUUCUGAGUUGUUUGGCACUUGUUGGUGUUAAAGUGUUGCUGAAGAGGUUGUGUUGAGUUGCAUUUGCAAAGAGGUGAGCAGUCCAGAUUUCCAGUGCUGCAUUUGCAAGAACUACAAUCCCCUUUACAUGAGCAUCUGAUGAGCUCUCUGCAAGCUCUGGAGACCUCAGGAAUUGUUAGCCAGACUGGCACCCAUGAUCCCGAUUCCUUGGUCCAUCCGUAGCUCUCUGGAGAAGGAAUGGCUUGGUGGGUUUGUGUACUGGUGGUCCAGAUGCCUGCUUGGUAGACUGCCCGUUUCACGUGCUGGAGGAGUGCAUUCUGGGUAGGAGGUAGUUUCUCCAUUGUUCUAUUUUCUUCCCAGAAGAGUUCUUUUCUUCUUUGGUUACUUGAGUUCGAAGGACUGGAUUUGUCAUACAGGAUGACAGUCAAUCUUUCAAGCUCACUGAACUGCUGGCUAGCUACGUUUAGUUGCUGGAAGGGAUGCUUUGCCAGGUCGAUGAAUGUUUCUGUGGCAGCAUCAUAAGCUUGCCAGGCCCGCCAAGCUGACUUUUUACCUUUUCCAUUGAAGGCAGAUGUAGUGUCACAGCCGGAAUACGCAUGAAACAUAGGCAGAGACUGGAUUUAGGUUCCCCCAGGCUUUUGCACAUGCUGUUGAUGUGGUAAAAUCUGUACUUUUUGCCCAUCCCAAAAGCCACCCAGAUGUCAGUCAGGGGUUGAAUUGCCAGUAAAUCAUGACACAAGCCUGUAAGGAUGACGAUGACAUCAGUGUCCACAGUGCGCACAAGGACAGUUUUCGCUCCAUGCUCCAGUGCAUGUUGUACAUGGACCACAAUCCUAGUGUCAGCCUCCUCGUGAUUGCGAGAGUUCAUUGUGCUACCGGACCCAAAAGACGACACAGCUUGCCCUGAUGUGACAUGCAAAGCUUUGGUUUGUGGCCAGCUGAACAGUUCAAUCUUGGAUGUCAAAAAGUCAAACAGCUCCUUCUUAUUGCUUGGAUCACGGAGAAAAUCCAUCCAAUUUCCGGGCAGCUUUGUCGGGCCUGACACUUUUCUGCGAAAAACCUUGUCCUCUCUUUUCGCGGGUGGACUCCUUCAAACUGUCUGGGAUGUAUGUGUCCCAUACAAUAUCCAGCCGCUUGGUAUUAUGUAGCUGCUUCUGUAAGUAAGGGAUGAAAACCUCAUCUGCAUAGGUAUCAAAUGUGGUCACUCUCACAGUGGGCAGGCAGUGGACAAUGACUGCUCCAUCAAGGACUUGGCAGUCAUAGGUUGAGGGUGGCUCUGGUUGCCCUGGGUGCUCAAGACAUUGCAGCAGGUCAGAUUUGGUGCUGGUCAGAUGAAGUUUCAAGGGACAUCUUAAAGGUUCAGCGGUGUCCUUCUGGCAAAUGAUACAGCGAUCCCAGUUCAGUUCCAUGUUGAGGCCUCACAAACUGUCACUGCCAAAAUAUUGGAACCAAUUAAUCUUGAUAGUGCAACAAACUGAGCUUUUACUGUGGUCUGUUUAAUAACAUAAAUUGUUCAUGUAGUAUUAUAUGAUUUACCUGAGUUGUGUUCACUUUUGAUUGCAGCUCUGCAUUAUAAUCAUGCUGAGAUGUGGCUCUCUUGUAGAGUCCAGUUUCAUGUUGUGAACUCACAAACUGUCACACAAGUAAUGGAACAAAUUGAUCAAGGUAAUGCAAUUAAAUUAGUGUUUGCUGUUUUGCAUCAUACAGCUUAUUGUUAAUGAAUUGCUAUUGUAUCUACCUGAAUUAGAACUUGUUUUGUUUCAGCCCUGUGUGAGGCUCUAGGCUGCGUUAUAAGCAUGCUGAGCUAUAGCUUUCUGGCAGAGUUCAGAAUCAUGUUGAGGUUUCACUGUCACAGAAACAAUGGAACAAAUUAAAAGCCAUUCUGGCAAAAGCCAUGUACUUCAAAUAAAUAUAUCAAAACUAGAUUUAAGUAAAUAACUUUUAAGGUGGAUACACAGCAACUAUUCCAGAUUGCACCAGCUAACAUUUUUGAUAAGCCCUAGCCAGUUGCUAGCUGAAAAACAGACCUCUGUGCUAGCAUUAGCUGUUUAAUGGAGAUAGCUUAGCUAAUCAUCUUUACUUCCAUAUGCUCAUUUAGCAACAUACAGCACAUUUUCAUUGAUUACUAUUAUGAUUUUUACCUGAAUUGCACUUGUUUGGUUGCAGCUCUGUGUGAGACUGUGUUGCAUUGAGACACUGCUGAGAUGUGAUGAGUUAUGGAGGGAAACUCAUUUUGACAGUUGAGCUUAUUUUGUGUAGCGCCAUCUGGUGGUCUGAAUGUAUAGUGACACAGUAUUUGUAUAUUUGAACAACUUGAUGCUAAAAUCUAAAACAAAAAUUAAAGAGAUAACACUCUCCAUGAUGAACAGGGCAUUUUUCUCACUUUUUUUGAGUUCCCGCCUAUUGUGUGCAGGGCUAUAUGGAAGAUGUACAGGCACCAGGUGUCUUUGUACUCCAUUUUACACAUCAUUAGGGGGGGGUUUAAUAAU
Molecule: RNA transcript, 5384 nt
Organism: Lampris incognitus (smalleye Pacific opah)
Lineage: Eukaryota; Metazoa; Chordata; Actinopteri; Lampriformes; Lampridae
Gene: znf451
Gene name: zinc finger protein 451
Exons: 14
Source: RefSeq, a predicted model, not a curated record